CGCGGGCGGAGGGCGGGGAGGGGGCAGGGAGCGGGCGCGGAGCCUCCUCCCGGGUUGCUCUUCCCCGGCCGGACGGAGAGCGGCACUGUGUCCCCGCGGCGCACGCUCCACGGAGCCUCCCCCUCUCCCCGGCCGCCGCCACCGAGCAGCUCCGCGGUCCCUGCCCCGCCCGAGCGCAGCCGCCGCCGCAGGAAGCGAGCGAGCCGAGGGCAGCGGCACGACGAGAGGAUCCCUGGCUUUCUGAUGUGUCCUCUGCUGUUCUGAGGUCGCUGGCAACUAGAUAUCACCUUGUUGAAAAACCUGGCUUAUGUUCCAGCACACAUUGUGCUCUGAUGCUCCAGCAGUCAUUUUCUUCUCAUCUGUGA
This 365-nucleotide long non-coding RNA is filed under the name Apteryx rowi (Okarito brown kiwi). RNAcentral's name for it is "lncRNA (ENSARWG00000017707.1)". The record is from RNAcentral. Lineage: Eukaryota; Metazoa; Chordata; Aves; Apterygiformes; Apterygidae.